This 404-nucleotide ribosomal RNA is filed under the name uncultured Novosphingobium sp. RNAcentral describes it as "bacterial SSU rRNA". It matches the Rfam family "Bacterial small subunit ribosomal RNA", at positions 355 to 776 of the family's 1533-position model. Lineage: Bacteria; Pseudomonadati; Pseudomonadota; Alphaproteobacteria; Sphingomonadales; Sphingomonadaceae. The record is from RNAcentral.
UGGGGAAUAUUGGACAAUGGGCGAAAGCCUGAUCCAGCAAUGCCGCGUGAGUGAUGAAGGCCUUAGGGUUGUAAAGCUCUUUUACCCGGGAUGAUAAUGACAGUACCGGGAGAAUAAGCUCCGGCUAACUCCGUGCCAGCAGCCGCGGUAAUACGGAGGGAGCUAGCGUUGUUCGGAAUUACUGGGCGUAAAGCGCACGUAGGCGGCUACUCAAGUCAGAGGUGAAAGCCCAGGGCUCAACCCUGGAACUGCCUUUGAAACUAGGUAGCUAGAAUCUUGGAGAGGUCAGUGGAAUUCCGAGUGUAGAGGUGAAAUUCGUAGAUAUUCGGAAGAACACCAGUGGCGAAGGCGACUGACUGGACAAGUAUUGACGCUGAGGUGCGAAAGCGUGGGGAGCAAACAGG